This 1142-nucleotide ribosomal RNA is filed under the name Burkholderia contaminans. Its description in RNAcentral is "bacterial SSU rRNA". It matches the Rfam family "Bacterial small subunit ribosomal RNA", at positions 55 to 1203 of the family's 1533-position model. Lineage: Bacteria; Pseudomonadati; Pseudomonadota; Betaproteobacteria; Burkholderiales; Burkholderiaceae. The record is from RNAcentral.
AUGCAAGUCGAACGGCAGCACGGGUGCUUGCACCUGGUGGCGAGUGGCGAACGGGUGAGUAAUACAUCGGAACAUGUCCUGUAGUGGGGGAUAGCCCGGCGAAAGCCGGAUUAAUACCGCAUACGAUCUACGGAUGAAAGCGGGGGACCUUCGGGCCUCGCGCUAUAGGGUUGGCCGAUGGCUGAUUAGCUAGUUGGUGGGGUAAAGGCCUACCAAGGCGACGAUCAGUAGCUGGUCUGAGAGGACGACCAGCCACACUGGGACUGAGACACGGCCCAGACUCCUACGGGAGGCAGCAGUGGGGAAUUUUGGACAAUGGGCGAAAGCCUGAUCCAGCAAUGCCGCGUGUGUGAAGAAGGCCUUCGGGUUGUAAAGCACUUUUGUCCGGAAAGAAAUCCUUGGCUCUAAUACAGUCGGGGGAUGACGGUACCGGAAGAAUAAGCACCGGCUAACUACGUGCCAGCAGCCGCGGUAAUACGUAGGGUGCGAGCGUUAAUCGGAAUUACUGGGCGUAAAGCGUGCGCAGGCGGUUUGCUAAGACCGAUGUGAAAUCCCCGGGCUCAACCUGGGAACUGCAUUGGUGACUGGCAGGCUAGAGUAUGGCAGAGGGGGGUAGAAUUCCACGUGUAGCAGUGAAAUGCGUAGAGAUGUGGAGGAAUACCGAUGGCGAAGGCAGCCCCCUGGGCCAAUACUGACGCUCAUGCACGAAAGCGUGGGGAGCAAACAGGAUUAGAUACCCUGGUAGUCCACGCCCUAAACGAUGUCAACUAGUUGUUGGGGAUUCAUUUCCUUAGUAACGUAGCUAACGCGUGAAGUUGACCGCCUGGGGAGUACGGUCGCAAGAUUAAAACUCAAAGGAAUUGACGGGGACCCGCACAAGCGGUGGAUGAUGUGGAUUAAUUCAAUGCAACGCGAAAAACCUUACCUACCCUUGACAUGGUCGGAAUCCCGCUGAAAGGUGGGAGUGCUCAAAAAAAAACCGGCGCACAGGUGCUGCAUGGCUGUCAUCACCUCGUGUCUUGAAAUGUAGGGUUAGUCCCCCACCAGCCCACCCUUGUCUUAAUUGCUUCGCAAGACACUUUAAGAAAACUGCCGGUAACAACCGGAGGAAGGGGGGGAAGAGGGGGGUUCCCUGGGCCCUU